Molecule: long non-coding RNA, 2256 nt
Organism: Triticum aestivum (bread wheat)
Lineage: Eukaryota; Viridiplantae; Streptophyta; Magnoliopsida; Poales; Poaceae
Exons: 3
Source: RefSeq, a predicted model, not a curated record
CACCCAUACAUCUAAAGAAAAUGAGGAAAAAAAGAAAAUGAAGAACAAGACAGAAACCACCGCAUGCCUCUCCCACUCUCUCUCUCUUGCUCGUCUCUCCCUCCCCCCGAAACCGUCGCCGCCGCCACCUAUGCCGCUCGAUUCCGGCGUGUUCCGGCGGGCCUCGCCGGCGCGCAGCACAGAUCUGAGCUCCCCUGCCUCCGCUCUUCCCUUCCUUCCGGCCAGAUCCACCUCUCGCGGCCCUGGGAGCUCACCCCCGACCCCUUCCCAUGGCUAGGGUUUCGAGGGUGGCGUCCCCACCAACUCCAGCGCGGCAGCGGCGACUGUGCUCUGCCCUCUUCGACGCCCACCGCAAGUCCCACGGGUGGUUCCGCCUCGUGGAUGGUGCUCCUGCACCCGAUGGCUGCAGGGCAGACGCGCGCGGUGGGUAAACUCCAGCGACGCGGAACACACUUCCUCUGCUCUUCCUUGCGGGGGUGGGGGGUGGUGGGGGAUGAAGAUCAAGGAGGAUGACAAGCAGAAGAAGAAGCCGGCCAGGACGUGCGUCCAGAUCGAGGAGAUCCCCGAGGACAACACCGCCGGCUGCGACGCCAUCCGCAAGGCCUUUGCUAUGGGGAACGGCAAGGGGAAGGCCAAGGAGCUAUCGCCAUAGGAUGCUGCGCUGGUCAUCCAGAUGAACUACAAGGCGCACCUCGCCCACCGCUCCCAGGUGCUCCGCUGCCUGCGUGAUCUCGCCGUCGCCAAGGCCAAGCUCAAGGAGCUCAGGUCCCUCUUCUACAACCUCUCCUACAGGCGCCGCCUCUCGCAUGACCACGAGGAGUGCCAGAGGUUCUCCGAGAAGAUCAUUGUCCUGCUGCUCACUGUCGAUGCGCUCGAGGUGAGCUCUGUCAUGACCUGUUUACGAUUGCUGAUUGCCAUUGCCGUGUUUUGGAUUUGAAAUUCAGUUACUACAUAUAGUGGCUACCACUAUAUUAUUAGACAAAAAAAAUAAAAGCAAAGCACACCAGGAUGAUUACCAUGCUAUUUAGCUGAGCAUCCGUCCAACAUAUGUAUGCACUUGAGAUGAUCUCCAUCAUCACCUGUACCCCAUUGCCAUGGUUGUGUUGUGAAUUUGAAAUUUACUUGGUAGUUAGUAAAGUACAUUGUUGGUUUGAGGAUGGUCUAUCAGGGUUCUAUACAUAAGUAUGAUUUUCUAGCUAGUGUCUGAAGGUAUUGGUUAGCGAUGCGUCAUUAUUGAGAAAAUAAAUAAAAGCACACUACAAAGAUUAACAUGCAUGCCAGAUAUGUAGCUCAAGUAAGUUGUAACUAUUAAACAUGUGAUAUACCGAGCUAGUUACUAUUAGUAUGUCUAUUGUACUAGCCAAUAGAUGAUACGUUGGUUGUUGACAUCAUUAACAUGCAUCCAAACCAAUAUUAUUCACCUGCUGUUUUUAAUCUAUAUGCAAACUUGGACAUAUACAUCUGGUAUGUAGCACCUAGGGUAUAGUACUGUAAUCAUGUAAAACUGAAACUGAAUCUGAUGAUCUUGUGUGCAUGUGUAUACUAACAAUGUAGCCUCACACCAUUAAUAGUUAUCUGCAGCAAUUUAGAAGAAUCCAUCAAGUCAUUGAGAUGUAGAAAAAGGGCCCCUUGUGUGUUUUAAAAUGAAACUUCUGGCUGCACUUCUCUCGCUCUUGUUGAGACUCAGUGCUGCACUUGAUAUUAACUGAACAUUUUCUCUAAUUUUGUGCUGAAUAUGAAACUGCAUUGCUGACUGUGUAGUUGAUUCUGUUUUGGAGAGAUAAAAGAAAUUACUUCUAGUUAGCAUCUCACAUGAGAUGUGUUUGUGUAGUUACUCAUUAAUUCCUGCAAAAACCUGUAGUAUAUGCUCGGAAGAACAAGGUUUCGGAACCAGAUUCAUAUUUGCAGGAUAAUAAGGUGUUGUUGCAUAAGUCGAAUGGACUAACUAGCAGGCGUCGUGUUUCCUGAAGUGUUGUGACCAUGGAGGACUUAGUGCAUCGAGCACCUUGAGUCCUUACUGCGUGCAUGCCUAUCUUGAAUGCUAGUGCAGACUUCACGCCAGCGCCUUCACCUUCUCCACAAACGACCAGAGUUCCCAAGUCUGAGGAUGCGCGCACGACAGCGACACCUUUAGUUGCUGAUUUGCUUCAGAUCACGGAAGCUUGGUUUGAUGGAGUGCUUGUCUUUAGUUUUUGUUUUGACUUUGUAAAACUUGCUACCUAUGGAUGAAACUGUGUAAUAUUGAUGAAACUAUGU